GGAGGAGUGGCUGAGUGGCCGAAGGCGCAUGCCUGGAGUGCAUGUGUCCCUUUACGGGGACCGCGAGUUCGAAUCUCGCCUCCUCCG
Molecule: transfer RNA, 87 nt
Filed under: Candidatus Portnoyibacteriota bacterium
Lineage: Bacteria; Candidatus Portnoyibacteriota
Description: tRNA-Ser
Rfam family: tRNA
About the family: Transfer RNA (tRNA) molecules are approximately 80 nucleotides in length. Their secondary structure includes four short double-helical elements and three loops (D, anti-codon, and T loops). Further hydrogen bonds mediate the characteristic L-shaped molecular structure. tRNAs have two regions of fundamental functional importance: the anti-codon, which is responsible for specific mRNA codon recognition, and the 3' end, to which the tRNAs corresponding amino acid is attached (by aminoacyl-tRNA synthetases). tRNAs cope with the degeneracy of the genetic code in two manners: having more than one tRNA (with a specific anti-codon) for a particular amino acid; and 'wobble' base-pairing, i.e. permitting non-standard base-pairing at the 3rd anti-codon position.
Source: RNAcentral